UUCCUACGGGAGGCAGCAGUAGGGAAUAUUGCACAAUGGGCGAAAGCCUGAUGCAGCAACGCCGCGUGCGCGAUGAAGGCCUUCGGGUUGUAAGGCGCUUUUCGGGGAGAAGAGGAAGGACGGUAUCCCCGGAAUAAGGCUCGGCUAACUACGUG
This 155-nucleotide ribosomal RNA is filed under the name uncultured bacterium. RNAcentral's name for it is "partial 16S ribosomal RNA". It matches the Rfam family "Bacterial small subunit ribosomal RNA", at positions 336 to 507 of the family's 1533-position model. The record is from RNAcentral.